CCUACGGGAGGCAGCAGUGGGGAAUAUUGCACAAUGGGGGAAACCCUGAUGCAGCGACGCCGCGUGAGUGAAGAAGUAAUUCGUUAUGUAAAGCUCUAUCAGCAGGGAAGAAAAUGACGGUACCUGAGUAAGAAGCCCCGGCUAACUACGUGCCAGCAGCCGCGGUAAUACGUAGGGGGCAAGCGUUAUCCGGAUUUACUGGGUGUAAAGGGAGCGUAGACGGCAGUGCAAGUCUGGAGUGAAAGGCGGGGGCUCAACCCCCGGACUGCUCUGGAAACUGUACGGCUGGAGUGCAGGAGAGGUAAGUGGAAUUCCUAGUGUAGCGGUGAAAUGCGGAGAUAGUAGGAGGAACACCAGUGGCGAAGGCGGCUUACUGGACUGUAACUGACGUUGAGGCUCGAAAGCGUGGGGAGCAAACAGGAUUAGAUACCCCAGUAGUC
RNAcentral lists this ribosomal RNA (440 nucleotides) under uncultured bacterium. RNAcentral describes it as "partial 16S ribosomal RNA". It matches the Rfam family "Bacterial small subunit ribosomal RNA", at positions 338 to 795 of the family's 1533-position model. The record is from RNAcentral.